Molecule: ribosomal RNA, 468 nt
Filed under: uncultured bacterium
Lineage: Bacteria
Description: partial 16S ribosomal RNA
Rfam family: Bacterial small subunit ribosomal RNA
Source: RNAcentral
GACGAACGCUGGCGGCGUGCUUAACACAUGCAAGUCGAACGGAAAGGCCCGGCUUUUGUGGGGUGCUCGAGUGGCGAACGGGUGAGUAACACGUGAGUAACCUGCCCUUGACUGUGGGAUAACUUCAGGAAACUGGGGCGAAUACCGGAUAGGAGCUCCUGCUGCAUGGGGGGGGUUGGAAAGUUUCGGCGGUGGGGGAUGGACUCGCGGCUUAUCAGCUUGUUGGUGGGGUAGUGGCUUACCAAGGCUUUGACGGGUAGCCGGCCUGAGAGGGUGACCGGCCACAUUGGGACUGAGGUACGGCCCAGACUCCUACGGGAGGCAGAAGUGGGGAAUAUUGCGCAAUGGGCGGAAGCCUGAUGCAGCAACGCCGCGUGCGGGAUGACGGCCUUCGGGUUGUAAACCGCUUUCGCCUGUGACGAAGCGUGAGUGACGGUAAUGGGUAAAGAAGCACCGGCUAACUACGUG